Molecule: long non-coding RNA, 1820 nt
Organism: Carcharodon carcharias (great white shark)
Lineage: Eukaryota; Metazoa; Chordata; Chondrichthyes; Lamniformes; Lamnidae
Exons: 3
Source: RefSeq, a predicted model, not a curated record
CCGCGCGCCGGGGUACGCGGGGCAGUGCGCAGGCGCUGUCUCCAGGGUCGUUUGGCUUUGCUCUGGCUCUGCAUCUGCUUCCCCGGGGUGUAAGUUGACGGGAGUGUCUUCUGUCGGAGAAAGAGACCCCCACACCCCCCCAACCGGGCCGCCGACUCACCCCACACCCAUUUUAAGUGGGUGGUGGGGCAAGUGGCCGCGCAGAGUUGUGUUGUGUGAUGAAGAAGAAGGGCGCGCCCCUCCCCCCACCCCCCCGACAUUUUGGACCGAGACCUUCUCCACCUAUCGCCCUCAGGCAGCGCCGGUUACAGAUGCAGCUCUUUGCGAUCCACUUGCUUUUGGACCAGGCUCGUUCGUGCUUUUAUCUUUUAAGCAGGCUGUCCUGAGAAAUGUGUGUGUGCGGUGCAUCAUACUAGAGGGGGAACCUCCGUCCUGCCGGACGUGCGUUGUCACAAUUCCGCCAGCCAACCCUCUUCCAGCAAUUCAGCAGGACCAUUUGGACCAAGUUUAUUUACAAAACACUUUCACUUGCCUUGUACUGAAAGGGGAUUGGCGUACAAGAAUAAAUAAGUUUAAAAAAACAAAUGUGCAGGGGCCACACCUGGAGUAGUGUGUGCAGUUUUAGCCUCUACAUUUAAGGAUGGAUAUACUUGCAUUCGAUGAGGUACAGCGACUGUUCACUUACGUUAGUUUCUGCCAUGAGAGGGUUGUCCUAUGAUGAGAGACUGAGUAAACUGGGCCUGUACCCUGCAAUUUAAGAGGAACGAGAGGUAAUCUGACUAUAAUGUAGAAGGUUCUGAAGGAGCUUGAUAAGGUAGGCUCUGAGAGGUCAUUUUCCCCCAGCCGGGGAAUUUAGAACAAGGCGUCAUGGUUUCAGGAUAAAGAGCUAGCUGUUUAGAACCGAGAUGAGAAAUUUCUUCAUUCAAAGGGUUGUUACUUCCUUGGAAUUCUCUACCCCAGAGGGUUGUGGCUGCUCCAUCAUUGAACAGAUUUAAGGCUGAGAGUGACUUUGGUGUCUUGUGCUGAAUCUCUUAUAGCCAGACGGUGAAGGUGACCAGAAGUCAACCUUUACCUACUUUUUAAGAUUUAUUCAUAAAGUGAGACAUUACAACCCACUCUACAACCUAACUCUACAACCCACUGCCUGUAUCAAAAAGUGUUUCUUUAUAUUCUUUUGAGCAUCAAUUAACUAAUAAAACAAACUAAUUAACCAGCCCUUAAAGGGGCACUGUAACUAAAACAAAAAUGUCAAAGGAAGCUUAAGUUAAAACAUUAUGGGAAGUGAUACUGCGCUGCAGCCCCUACAGUGGCCACCGGUUGUGAAAGACCUCAAGUGUACCAGCGGCCAACCUGUGCUUCCUCUCCAAGGACACCUGGACAUAGAUGGUCCACGUGGCUGAUGCUUUCACCUCCAUGGGUGGCAGCAGCAGACAUGCUGCCAUCUGCACAGAGCAGGCCGCACUAAGCAGCUCAGGAUCUCAAAUCUGGAGUGUAGGCAGCAGCAUCUCCGACCUAGGAGCAGGCGGCCAUAAGAAUUGCUGAGUCAGAGGCUACAUUCUUCUACCACACUGCAGAAUUCCAAUUUCCAUUGGCAGCAGCGCUUUCGGCACUGGAUUUUCCUCCCUUAACCUCUCCAACACUCCUUUGAAGGUGCUCCUUAAACCAUACCUCGUUGUCUAAGCAUUUGGUCAACAGUUUCCAUUCUCCAUGUAAAUGUCUGUCUGAUGAUGCUCCUGUGAGGUGCCCAAUAACAUUUCACUAUGUAAACAUCCUAUAUCAAUACAAGUUGUUAAUUGUUCAUGCCUAUGUAAAUAAAAUGC